This 253-nucleotide ribosomal RNA is filed under the name uncultured bacterium. RNAcentral describes it as "partial 16S ribosomal RNA". It matches the Rfam family "Bacterial small subunit ribosomal RNA", at positions 524 to 776 of the family's 1533-position model. The record is from RNAcentral.
UACAGAGGGGGCAAGCGUUAUUCGGAAUUAUUGGGCGUAAAGGGCGCGUAGGCGGCUUUGCAAGUGACGGGUGAAAUCCCUCGGCUUAACCGAGGAACUGCCUGUCAGACUGCAUGGCUUGAGACCAGGAGAGGUGAGUGGAAUUCCCAGUGUAGCGGUGAAAUGCGUAGAUAUUGGGAGGAACACCAGUGGCGAAGGCGGCUCACUGGACUGGUACUGACGCUGAUGCGCGAAAGCGUGGGGAGCGAACGGG